Molecule: long non-coding RNA, 718 nt
Filed under: Anas platyrhynchos platyrhynchos (common mallard)
Lineage: Eukaryota; Metazoa; Chordata; Aves; Anseriformes; Anatidae
Description: lncRNA (ENSAPLG00000020583.1)
Source: RNAcentral
CUAUCUUUGCCUAACAUUUGUGGCAUGCUAGACUUAGGCUUUGGUUUUGCCAUGGGAUCUGACAGCAUGCAUGUGCCUCUGCAGGGAAGGGCUCUGACCCGGUGGUGCCAGGGUCAAGCUGUUUGCCCUGCCUGCUGCAUUACCUCUAUUGCUUCUGCUGGAUCCAGCCUAGAUAAACUGUUACUCCAUGGACACAGCUACACCUUUCCCUUGUAGAGAAAAUCCUAGAUGACAGCAAACUUGUUUCCUGACCACCUUGUCAUGUGUAGUCAUGGUCUGGUAAGUGGACAGGAAUUGCUGCUCUUCUGAUUUAAUAUUUUGCGCUUGCUUUGGGAAGAUAUAAACAGAAGAAAAUACAAAGCAGAGAAGAAAGAUUAAAUCAUUCAAAGAUAAAUCUUUAAUAGCUGUAUGCAAACUCUGUAAAUUAACUCAUCUAGAGCAAUUAUACUUACUAGAAAUAGUACUUUUUUUUUCUGAUAGCUUCUUAAAUAUUUUUGUUUGUUUGUUUGUAAUCAAAUGUUUCCUUUAAUUACUGGAUUACAAACUUUUAAAGCAAUUAUUGAAAAGACACCAUACCAAUCAAGCACCUGUGACACCACCAAUUAUGCCUGCCAAAUAUAUGUUUUGGUAUGUCUUUUACCAAGGCUCCUACUUUAAAUACAUGACAAAGAGACCAUGAGCUCCUUAUUCUGUGAUAUGCAAUCAAAAUGGAUCUUCC